GCUCUUUCCGUUCGUAUUCCCCUAAUCUCUUCGAAUCCCUUCAUUCUCCAAAUCUCUCCGAAGCUUGCACUGCUUGAAGGUCACUGUGGCUCGAUUUUCUUCUCCCUCACCAUGACGAUCUGAAUCCCAUCAUCAUUGGAGGUGCCAUCUUUUCGACGCUCAUCCCUGCUGAUUGUAUACAAAUUAUUAUGGCAAGAAAAAGGUUGAGGAAGGUCACAGUUCAGCAUUCAUCUCGGGACCAACAAAAUCUUCCACAAUUUGAUAGUGAUCCUUCAAUCUAUGUAGACUCCAAUCAUGGGAAUCAAUCAAGGGAUUUAGAAGGAGAGCCAACUAAUGCAUCUGGCUAAGGAUGGAGUUGAGCCAUCAAGAGCACAUAUUUUCAUUGAAACUCAUAAGCAAUGCAAGGAUGAGAGGCCCAUUGAUGAUGAGUCAGCUUGAAUAGCUGAUGCACGCUGUCAGUUGAUGGACUGCUUUGGAUUAAGAGCUCAAUUGAUACUCAUGGAGUUCAUUGGAGCUAAGACAAGAUUGUUAAGAGUUCAUUUAUGAUUGUAAUGGAUAUAUGUUUUGCUAUGUUUGUAUUUGAGAGUUGCAUGUACUUGACAAAAUAUACAAUGUAAACUCUUUU
Elaeis guineensis (African oil palm) is the source of this 625-nucleotide non-coding RNA. The record is from RefSeq and is a predicted model, not a curated record. NCBI's taxonomy places the organism in Eukaryota, Viridiplantae, Streptophyta, Magnoliopsida, Arecales, Arecaceae.